Molecule: long non-coding RNA, 482 nt
Organism: Ostrea edulis (European flat oyster)
Lineage: Eukaryota; Metazoa; Mollusca; Bivalvia; Ostreida; Ostreidae
Exons: 2
Source: RefSeq, a predicted model, not a curated record
UCUUAUACAGUCUUACAGACACACCUUAUGUGUAUAUAUGAUAUAUUUUCUAUUUACAACAAUUCCAGUGAACAAUUACAUACUGUCAAACCAUAGCAGGAUUUAGACACAGUAUCCACGGACCAGCUUAACAUGAAUUUGGACAACCUGUACUUAAGGAACCCGUUUUCAUGCCGGUUUAGGCGUGUAAAAUUGGAAAUGCAGCAGACGACAAACAGCUGUUGAGCCUCAAUUUCGAAGUCCUGGACAUGAACAUCAAGGAAGUUAAAAGAAGAAGAAAAAUAUUAAUGUUUUGAACAAUUAUAAUAUUGUGUGUGUCUGUUCAUUGCAUGAGAGGUGGUCAACCUAGCUCCGAGUUAAUCUGACAAUAUUUACUAUUGCAUACCUCAACAUGCAUCUCUACAUAAAUUUUAUUGUGAUUAUUUAUGUAUUUCUCUAUGUCAUGGUGUUUUGACUUGUGAGAAUAAAUUGAAUUGAACAAG